GAGCACGUAGGUGGGUUUGUAAGUCAGAUGUGAAAGCCUUCUGUUCAACGGGAGAAUUGCAUCUGAAACUGCUAAUCUUGAGUAUAGGAGGGGAGAAUGGAACUUUUGGUGGAGCGGUGAAAUGCGUAGAUAUCAGAAGGAACGCCGGCGGCGAAAGCGAUUCUCUGGCCUAUUACUGACACUCAGUGUGCGAAAGCUAGGGGAGCAAACGGGAUAGAUACCCCGUAGCAGCUGAU
This 236-nucleotide ribosomal RNA is filed under the name uncultured Candidatus Scalindua sp. RNAcentral describes it as "partial 16S ribosomal RNA". It matches the Rfam family "Bacterial small subunit ribosomal RNA", at positions 565 to 804 of the family's 1533-position model. The record is from RNAcentral. Lineage: Bacteria; Pseudomonadati; Planctomycetota; Candidatus Brocadiia; Candidatus Brocadiales; Candidatus Scalinduaceae.